RNAcentral lists this ribosomal RNA (579 nucleotides) under Alternaria alternata. RNAcentral describes it as "eukaryotic LSU rRNA". The stretch from base 213 to 366 matches the Rfam family "5.8S ribosomal RNA". Lineage: Eukaryota; Fungi; Ascomycota; Dothideomycetes; Pleosporales; Pleosporaceae. The record is from RNAcentral.
AAAGUCGUAACAAGGUCUCCGUAGGUGAACCUGCGGAGGGAUCAUUACACAAAUAUGAAGGCGGGCUGGAACCUCUCGGGGUUACAGCCUUGCUGAAUUAUUCACCCUUGUCUUUUGCGUACUUCUUGUUUCCUUGGUGGGUUCGCCCACCACUAGGACAAACAUAAACCUUUUGUAAUUGCAAUCAGCGUCAGUAACAAAUUAAUAAUUACAACUUUCAACAACGGAUCUCUUGGUUCUGGCAUCGAUGAAGAACGCAGCGAAAUGCGAUAAGUAGUGUGAAUUGCAGAAUUCAGUGAAUCAUCGAAUCUUUGAACGCACAUUGCGCCCUUUGGUAUUCCAAAGGGCAUGCCUGUUCGAGCGUCAUUUGUACCCUCAAGCUUUGCUUGGUGUUGGGCGUCUUGUCUCUAGCUUUGCUGGAGACUCGCCUUAAAGUAAUUGGCAGCCGGCCUACUGGUUUCGGAGCGCAGCACAAGUCGCACUCUCUAUCAGCAAAGGUCUAGCAUCCAUUAAGCCUUUUUUUCAACUUUUGACCUCGGAUCAGGUAGGGAUACCCGCUGAACUUAAGCAUAUCAAUAA